UCAGCCUCCCAAAGUGCUGGGAUUACAGGCGUGAGCCACUGCACCCAGCCCAGAUAUUUAUUUUUGAAUGAUGCUAGGCUCUGAGGAUGCAAAGGUUGUUUCAGUUGUUAUUCCUGCUCUGCAGGAGUUCCCAGUCCAGGAGGAGAUAGUGGCAGGAGUGACAAACUAUGCCCCAGAAAGCCAGGAAAGGCUCCUCUGGCAAGUGACGUUGAACUAGGACUUGAAGAUCAAGUAGGAGUUCACCAGGCAGACAGGAUGAGGUUAGCUGGGAUAUUUCAACAGCAUGGACAACAGGGCAUGAGAAAAUGGGAAGAGAGAAUGGGCAAGGGGUCAUCGAUGGACCGGAGAUGGGAUGGUAGGGACAGAAACUGCAGGGUCCGCAGAAGGAACUGCUCACCGAAAGCCAACAAGCUUGCCCUGUGGAAUCCCAGAAAGGCCCAGGAACUUCGGGACAUCACUGAAGGCAGAGUGAAGAGAGGAAGAGAAGACAGAGAAAUGGAGGGGAGAAAACUAUUAAAAUAAGUAAUAAGAAAACUUUCCCCAGAAGUGCAGAAUCUGAAUUUCCAGUAUAAAAGGGUCCAUUGAGCGCCAAGAACAAUGAAGGAAAAAAGGUCCCACUCAGGCCUACGUAUCAUUGUGAAAUUUCAGAACUAGAGGGAUAAAGAAAAGAUCCUAAAAGCUUCCCGAGAGAUAAAAAAGAAGAUUUUUACAAAGGAUCAGCAAUCAGAAUUGCCUCAGACUGCUCAAUAAAAACAUCAGAAGCUAGAAGAAAAUAGAAUGAGGCAUCAAAAUCCUGAGGGAAAUGAUUCCCACCUAUAAUUUCAUAUUCUGCUCAAUUAUCAAUUGAGUAUUGAAGGGAAAUAAAGACAUUUUUAGACAUGCAGUUUCUCCACUUGAUCUUAGCCCAAAGGCCGAGAGGCAAUGACAUGCAGUUUCUCAAAAGGUUUGCUUCCCACUUUCUUGGAAAAAACCAAGAAAGAGGGGGCCUGGGGAACCAGGGGAUCCCAACACAGGAGAGUGGCAGAGGAAGCUCCCAGGAUGAUGGAAAAUGGAAGCAAACC
Molecule: long non-coding RNA, 1061 nt
Filed under: Homo sapiens (human)
Lineage: Eukaryota; Metazoa; Chordata; Mammalia; Primates; Hominidae
Description: HSALNT0362681
Source: RNAcentral